Episyrphus balteatus (marmalade hoverfly) is the source of this 1090-nucleotide long non-coding RNA. RefSeq lists it as uncharacterized. The record is from RefSeq and is a predicted model, not a curated record. NCBI's taxonomy places the organism in Eukaryota, Metazoa, Arthropoda, Insecta, Diptera, Syrphidae. The transcript has 2 exons.
CGCAAUUUGGAAAUUUACAAUUUUUUUUUUUUUUUUUUCAAAUUACAAUGCACGACUUCGUCGAACGUACUCGUACUUCUUCUUAUAGUAACAGUUGCUUAGAAUGGGACGUGAACAUUCACAAAGGAAUAAUUUUAAUUUGUCUUUAAACAAAAUUUAUAAAAAUACACAUUUUUUUAUAUUGCGAAAAUGUCUUUUUUUGUCUUGUAUUAAAAAGAUUUUUAAGCGAACCAAAAUUCAAAAUCGUUAUAACCGUUUUUUUUUUUUAAUACAUAUAUCUACUCCCUCUAAGUCGAAUUUUCCUCUUAUUCGAACUUUUUCGACUGGAAUUCUUUGUAGACAUAGUUUUUGAAACAUUAAAAAAAUGGUAUGCCAUUCAAACGAAAUAUUUAGUAGAAACAUUAAAGCCAAUUUUAGAAAAGAAGUCCCAUAACCGUUUUAAAAAACUGAUUUUUUUAAAUUCCUUUUUUUACAAGAAAUCGAAUUGCAUACUUAGUUUUGUGUAAAAGAUCAUAUAAAACGGUGUUAAAUUAAUUAUAAAAACAGAUUUUAUUUUUUUUUUAACAUUACUAACUAAUGAAAUUUCUUAAAACAAAUCAAAUUAUAAAUUUUACCUCAUUUUAUUCAAUAAAACUCUAACAUUAGAGACACAUUCCAUAAGAGCAGGAAUGUUCGACUCAGUCGUGCAAUUUAUUUAAGGGUAUUUAAGAAAAAAAUAUAAAGCAAGUUAAAAAAAACUAAUCAAUUUUACUGGGGACUUAGUCGUGCAAUUUAUAUUGUAGGGAUCUCGAUAUGGCAUUUUUUCCUAUUAUUAUUUAUUAUUUAGAAAAAGCAUCUAUUUCUUUCAUUAAGUAUGGUACUCAAAUCCCCAGGCGAAUUGUUUUCGGGCGAAAUCUAUAUGCAAGCUGAUAAUCAAGAUAACAUGCAGCAAAAUUGGCCAAAAUACUCCAUAAUAAAGGAUAAAAUUAACGAAAUCAAAAAAUAUUGAGUAUUAUAUUACUUAGGUACUGAUUUUUGGAAACAAAAAUAAGGCACACACAACAAGAAAAUCCAUCAGCAAUAACAAAGAAGCAACUUCACCAAUGGUUUU